UGGGGAAUAUUGCACAAUGGGCGCAAGCCUGAUGCAGCGACGCCGCGUGGGGGAUGACGGCCUCGGGUUGUAAACCUCUUCAGCAUCGACGAAGCCUUUUUGGGUGACGGUAGGUGCAGAAGAAGCGCCGGCUAACUACGUGCCAGCAGCCGCGGUAAGACGUAGGGCGCGAGCGUUGUCCGGAUUUAUUGGGCGUAAAGAGCUCGUAGGCGGCUUGUUGCGUCAGCUGUGAAAGCCCAUGGCUUAACUGUGGGUUGGCAGCUGAUACGGGCAGGCUAGAGUUCGGUAGGGGAGACUGGAAUUCCUGGUGUAGCGGUGAAAUGCGCAGAUAUCAGGAGGAACACCGGUGGCGAAGGCGGCUUGCUGGGCCUGUCCUGACGCUGAGGCACGACAGCUGGGGGAGCAAAGCAGGAUUAGAUACC
Molecule: ribosomal RNA, 422 nt
Filed under: uncultured bacterium
Lineage: Bacteria
Description: bacterial SSU rRNA
Rfam family: Bacterial small subunit ribosomal RNA
Source: RNAcentral